This 186-nucleotide unclassified non-coding RNA is filed under the name uncultured fungus. Its description in RNAcentral is "sequence contains ITS1, 5.8S rRNA gene". The record is from RNAcentral. Lineage: Eukaryota; Fungi.
UCAUAACGUAUCCACGUAUAAACCAACCUUUAAUGAUGUGAAAACGUAACUGUUUAACACCUCGAGAUAUUCAGAUGAUUGCUGUACUUACAUUGUUUGCGUGAUUAAAGCAAAAACGGUAGUACGGACUUGUUUCAUUUCAACGAUGAAACUAGCGCUGAGUAUUUGGAGUGUAAAAUUUAAUCA